CCGGCGACCGGCAAACGGGUGCGGAACACGUACACAACCUUCCUUUUAGUGGGGAUAGCCCAGAGAAAUUUGGAUUAAUACCCCGUAAGAUUAAAGAGUGGCAUCACUUUUUAAUUAAAGUUCCGGCGCUAGGAGAUGGGUGUGCGUCUGAUUAGGUAGUUGGUGUGGGUAACGGCCCACCAAGCCUACGAUCAGUAACUGGUGUGAGAGCACGACCAGUCACACGGGCACUGAGACACGGGCCCG
This 246-nucleotide ribosomal RNA is filed under the name uncultured bacterium. RNAcentral describes it as "partial 16S ribosomal RNA". It matches the Rfam family "Bacterial small subunit ribosomal RNA", at positions 88 to 334 of the family's 1533-position model. The record is from RNAcentral.